AACCUUACCUGGGUUGGAACCCUCUGGAAGUCCGCAGAGACGUGGAUGUGCCCGCAAGGGAGGCAGGCCGGCCACGGUAGGGUCAGCGACUGGGGUG
Molecule: ribosomal RNA, 97 nt
Filed under: uncultured bacterium
Lineage: Bacteria
Description: partial 16S ribosomal RNA
Source: RNAcentral